GAUGAAGAACGUAGCGAAAUGCGAUAAGUAAUGUGAAUUGCAGAAUUCAGUGAAUCAUCGAAUCUUUGAACGCACAUUGCGCCCCCUGGUAUUCCGGGGGGCAUGCCUGUUCGAGCGUCAUUUCACCACUCAAGCCUCGCUUGGUAUUGGGCAACGCGGUCCGCCGCGUGCCUCAAAUCGACCGGCUGGGUCUUCUGUCCCCUAAGCGUUGUGGAAACUUUCGCCAAAGGGUGUUCGGGAGGCUACGCCGUAAAACAACCCCAUUUCUAAGGUUGACCUCGGAUCAGGUAGGGAUACCCGCUGAACUUAAGCAUAUCAAUAAGCGGAGGA
This 330-nucleotide unclassified non-coding RNA is filed under the name soil metagenome. Its description in RNAcentral is "partial contains 5.8S ribosomal RNA, internal transcribed spacer 2, and large subunit ribosomal RNA". The stretch from base 1 to 120 matches the Rfam family "5.8S ribosomal RNA", at positions 35 to 154 of the family's 154-position model. The record is from RNAcentral.